GAUGAACGCUGGCGGCGUGCCUAAUACAUGCAAGUCGAGCGAACGGACGAGAAGCUUGCUUCUCUGAUGUUAGCGGCGGACGGGUGAGUAACACGUGGAUAACCUACCUAUAAGACUGGGAUAACUUCGGGAAACCGGAGCUAAUACCGGAUAAUAUUUUGAACCGCAUGGUUCAAAAGUGAAAGACGGUCUUGCUGUCACUUAUAGAUGGAUCCGCGCUGCAUUAGCUAGUUGGUAAGGUAACGGCUUACCAAGGCAACGAUGCAUAGCCGACCUGAGAGGGUGAUAGGCGACAUGGGAGCUGAGCCACGGUCCAGACUCCUAAGGGAGGCAGCAGUAGGGAAUCUUCCGCAAUGGGCGAAAGCCUGACGGAGCAACGCCGCGUGAGUGAUGAAGGUGUUCGGAUCGUAAAACUCUGUUAUUAGGGAAGAACAUAUGUGUAAGUAACUGUGCACAGCUUGACGGUACCUAAUCAGAAAGCCACGGCUAACUACGUG
This 497-nucleotide ribosomal RNA is filed under the name uncultured bacterium. RNAcentral's name for it is "partial 16S ribosomal RNA". It matches the Rfam family "Bacterial small subunit ribosomal RNA", at positions 28 to 507 of the family's 1533-position model. The record is from RNAcentral.